Daphnia pulex (common water flea) is the source of this 209-nucleotide long non-coding RNA. RefSeq lists it as uncharacterized. Lineage: Eukaryota; Metazoa; Arthropoda; Branchiopoda; Diplostraca; Daphniidae. The transcript has 3 exons. The record is from RefSeq and is a predicted model, not a curated record.
UGCAACUGCGGAGAGGUUGGGUGAGGACGACACGUGUUACAUCAUUAUCAAGCAGAGAGAGAACAGGCGGAAAGAAUUCAGUCGAGUGAGCAGCUUCGAUACGGCAACAACUGCAGAGCGCUAUCUGUCACCAGCUUUCUUCAUCGUAUUACCAGUCCGUAAUCAUGGACCCAUCCUCAUCAGCGACGUCAACCUGCAGAAAGAUAGGC